This 270-nucleotide ribosomal RNA is filed under the name uncultured archaeon. Its description in RNAcentral is "partial 16S ribosomal RNA". It matches the Rfam family "Archaeal small subunit ribosomal RNA", at positions 477 to 747 of the family's 1478-position model. The record is from RNAcentral.
CAGCACCUCAGGUGGUCAGGAUGAUUAUUGGGCCUAAAGCAUCCGUAGCCGGCGCUGUAAGUUUUCGGUUAAAUCUGUACGCUCAACGUACAGGCUGCCGGGAAUACUGCAGCGCUAGGGAGUGGGAGAGGUAGACGGUACUCGGUAGGAAGGGGUAAAAUCCUUUGAUCUAUUGAUGACCACCUGUGGCGAAGGCGGUCUACCAGAACACGUCCGACGGUGAGGGAUGAAAGCUGGGGGAGCAAACCGGAUUAGAUACCCGAGUAGUCC